This 158-nucleotide ribosomal RNA is filed under the name uncultured Pleosporales. RNAcentral's name for it is "5.8S ribosomal RNA". It matches the Rfam family "5.8S ribosomal RNA". Rfam says of the family: 5.8S ribosomal RNA (5.8S rRNA) is a component of the large subunit of the eukaryotic ribosome. It is transcribed by RNA polymerase I as part of the 45S precursor that also contains 18S and 28S rRNA. Lineage: Eukaryota; Fungi; Ascomycota; Dothideomycetes; Pleosporales. The record is from RNAcentral.
CAACUUUCAACAAUGAAUCUCUUGGCUCUGGCAUCGAUGAAGAACGCAGCGAAAUGCGAUAAGUAGUGUGAAUUGCGGAGUUCAGUGAAUCAUCGAAUCUUUGAACGCACAUUGCGCCCCUUGGUAUUCCGUGGGGCAUGCCUGUUCGAGCGUCAUCU